CUACGGGAUGCUGCAGUGGGGAAUAUUGGACAAUGGGGGAAACCCUGAUCCAGCAAUGCCGCGUGUGUGAAGAAGGCCUGCGGGUUGUAAAGCACUUUCGGUUGGGAGGACUGCUUCUAGCACUAAUAUUGUUGGAAGUUGACGUUACCUUCAGAAGAAGCACCGGCUAACUCCGUGCCAGCAGCCGCGGUAAUACGGAGGGUGCAAGCGUUAAUCGGAAUUACUGGGCGUAGAGCGCGCGUAGGCGGCUAGAUCAGUCGGGUGUGAAAGCCCCGGGCGUAACCUGGGAACUGCAUCCGAUACUGUCUAGCUUGAGUACAGGAGAGGAGAGUGGAAUUCCACAUGUAGCGGUGAAAUGCGUAGAUAUGUGGAGGAACACCAAUGGCGAAGGCAGCUCUCUGGCCUGAUACUGACGCCGAGGUGCGAAAGCGUGGGGAGCAAACAGGAUUAGAUACCCGAGUAGUC
RNAcentral lists this ribosomal RNA (465 nucleotides) under uncultured bacterium. Its description in RNAcentral is "partial 16S ribosomal RNA". It matches the Rfam family "Bacterial small subunit ribosomal RNA", at positions 339 to 795 of the family's 1533-position model. The record is from RNAcentral.